AACGAGACCAUUUAGUUAACCCAUUUUCAGAUUGUUUGGAUCCACAU
Molecule: transfer RNA, 47 nt
Filed under: Polystichum craspedosorum
Lineage: Eukaryota; Viridiplantae; Streptophyta; Polypodiopsida; Polypodiales; Dryopteridaceae
Description: partial tRNA-Leu
Source: RNAcentral